GAUGAACGCUGGCGGCGCGCCUAACACAUGCAAGUCGAACGAGUAAGACGCCUUCGGGCGUGCAUAGAGUGGCGAACGGGUGAGUAACACGUGACCAACCUGCCCCCUCCUCCGGGACAACCUCGGGAAACCGAGGCUAAUACCGGAUACUCCGGGCCCCCCGCAUGGGGAGCCCGGGAAAGCCCUGGCGGGAGGGGAUGGGGUCGCGGCCCAUCAGGUAGACGGCGGGGUAACGGCCCACCGUGCCUACUACGGGUAGCCGGGCUGAGAGGCCGAUCGGCCACAUUGGGACUGAGACACGGCCCAGACUCCUACGGGAGGCAGCAGUGGGGAAUUUUGCGCAAUGGGGGCAACCCUGACGCAGCGACGCCGCGUGCGGGACGAAGUCAUUCGUGACGUAAACCGCUUUCAGCGAGGAAGAACCAUGACGGUACUCGCAGAAGAAGCCCCGG
Molecule: ribosomal RNA, 452 nt
Filed under: uncultured bacterium
Lineage: Bacteria
Description: bacterial SSU rRNA
Rfam family: Bacterial small subunit ribosomal RNA
Source: RNAcentral